AGCCCUAGGCAUUAAUAUAGGGUAAUACCUGCUCAAUGAAUAGUAUUUUAAUAGCCGCGGUACCUUGACCGUGCUAAGGUAGCAUAAUCAGUUGACUUUUAAAUGAAGUCUGGAAUGAAGGGAAAAACGGGAUUGAGCUGUCUCUUAUUUUUUAUUAUGAAUUUACUAAUCAGGUGAAAAGGCCUGAAUAAGAUAAAAGACGAGAAGACCCUUAGAGUUUUUUAACAUAUUUUGUUGGGGCGACAAAGAAUCAAUUAACAUUCUUAUAUGGAAUAAGACGGAUUUAUCAUGAAUAGAUAAACUACCUGAGGGAUAACAGCAUUAUCUUUUUAGGAUUGUGACCUCGAUGUUGGACUAGGAAGCCUAUAGGCUAGCCGCCUAUACGGGGGGUUCUGUUCGAACUUUUUCUCCU
RNAcentral lists this ribosomal RNA (412 nucleotides) under Chelidonura sp. CASIZ182002. RNAcentral's name for it is "partial 16S ribosomal RNA". It matches the Rfam family "Archaeal large subunit ribosomal RNA", at positions 1920 to 2665 of the family's 2987-position model. Lineage: Eukaryota; Metazoa; Mollusca; Gastropoda; Cephalaspidea; Aglajidae. The record is from RNAcentral.